This 234-nucleotide ribosomal RNA is filed under the name uncultured Pelotomaculum sp. Its description in RNAcentral is "partial 16S ribosomal RNA". It matches the Rfam family "Bacterial small subunit ribosomal RNA", at positions 1151 to 1382 of the family's 1533-position model. Lineage: Bacteria; Bacillati; Bacillota; Clostridia; Eubacteriales; Desulfotomaculaceae. The record is from RNAcentral.
CCGGUCGUACGAAGACCGGAGGAAGUGGGAUGACGUCAAAUCAUCAUGCCCCUUAUGUUCUGGGCUACACACGUGCUACAAUGGCCGGUACAGACGGAGGCGAAGCCGCGAGGCGGAGCAAAUCCGAAAAAGCCGGUCUCAAAUUCGGAUUGCAGGCUGCAAUUCGCCUGCAUGAAGUCGGAAUCGCUAGUAAUCGCGGAUCAGUAUGCCGCGGUGAAUACGUUCCCGGGCCUU